UUAUUUUCUCGUUUUACAGAU
RNAcentral lists this non-coding RNA (21 nucleotides) under Arabidopsis thaliana (thale cress). Lineage: Eukaryota; Viridiplantae; Streptophyta; Magnoliopsida; Brassicales; Brassicaceae. The record is from RNAcentral.